This 472-nucleotide ribosomal RNA is filed under the name Fusarium oxysporum f. sp. ciceris. Its description in RNAcentral is "eukaryotic LSU rRNA". The stretch from base 131 to 284 matches the Rfam family "5.8S ribosomal RNA". Lineage: Eukaryota; Fungi; Ascomycota; Sordariomycetes; Hypocreales; Nectriaceae. The record is from RNAcentral.
AACCCCUGUGAACAUACCAAUUGUUGCCUCGGCGGAUCAGCCCGCUCCCGGUAAAACGGGACGGCCCGCCAGAGGACCCCUAAACUCUGUUUCUAUAUGUAACUUCUGAGUAAAACCAUAAAUAAAUCAAAACUUUCAACAACGGAUCUCUUGGUUCUGGCAUCGAUGAAGAACGCAGCAAAAUGCGAUAAGUAAUGUGAAUUGCAGAAUUCAGUGAAUCAUCGAAUCUUUGAACGCACAUUGCGCCCGCCAGUAUUCUGGCGGGCAUGCCUGUUCGAGCGUCAUUUCAACCCUCAAGCCCCCGGGUUUGGUGUUGGGGAUCGGCGAGCCUCACGGCAAGCCGGCCCCGAAAUACAGUGGCGGUCUCGCUGCAGCUUCCAUUGCGUAGUAGUAAAACCCUCGCAACUGGUACGCGGCGCGGCCAAGCCGUUAAACCCCCAACUUCUGAAUGUUGACCUCGGAUCAGGUAGGA